RNAcentral lists this ribosomal RNA (702 nucleotides) under uncultured bacterium. RNAcentral's name for it is "bacterial SSU rRNA". It matches the Rfam family "Bacterial small subunit ribosomal RNA", at positions 775 to 1482 of the family's 1533-position model. The record is from RNAcentral.
GGAUUAGAUACCCUGGUAGUCCACGCCCUAAACGAUGUCAACUGGUUGUUGGGAGGGUUUCUUCUCAGUAACGUAGCUAACGCGUGAAGUUGACCGCCUGGGGAGUACGGCCGCAAGGUUGAAACUCAAAGGAAUUGACGGGGACCCGCACAAGCGGUGGAUGAUGUGGCUUAAUUCGAUGCAACGCGAAAAACCUUACCUACCCUUGACAUGCCAGGAAUCUUGCAGAGAUGUGAGAGUGCUCGAAAGAGAACCUGGACACAGGUGCUGCAUGGCCGUCGUCAGCUCGUGUCGUGAGAUGUUGGGUUAAGUCCCGCAACGAGCGCAACCCUUGUCAUUAGUUGCUACGAAAGGGCACUCUAAUGAGACUGCCGGUGACAAACCGGAGGAAGGUGGGGAUGACGUCAGGUCAUCAUGGCCCUUAUGGGUAGGGCUACACACGUCAUACAAUGGCCGGGACAGAGGGCUGCCAACCCGCGAGGGGGAGCUAAUCCCAGAAACCCGGUCGUAGUCCGGAUCGCAGUCUGCAACUCGACUGCGUGAAGUCGGAAUCGCUAGUAAUCGCGGAUCAGCUUGCCGCGGUGAAUACGUUCCCGGGUCUUGUACACACCGCCCGUCACACCAUGGGAGCGGGUUCUGCCAGAAGUAGUUAGCCUAACCGCAAGGAGGGCGAUUACCACGGCAGGGUUCGUGACUGGGGUG